Sphaeramia orbicularis (orbiculate cardinalfish) is the source of this 195-nucleotide long non-coding RNA. RefSeq lists it as uncharacterized. The transcript is spliced from 3 exons. NCBI's taxonomy places the organism in Eukaryota, Metazoa, Chordata, Actinopteri, Kurtiformes, Apogonidae. The record is from RefSeq and is a predicted model, not a curated record.
UACCCAGGCCUGCCUACCCACUUUGACUCUAUUACUGUUUGGGAUGCUGUCUCUUCAGCUGAUUGAACAGUUUCGUAGUGUUGACAUACAUUAUUCUAAGAGUAUAACACGACAGACCUGUAUGUGGAGGAAGUGGAGGACUGACAUCGGGCAUACUGUGCACACGUACUGUGAGCAGAGUGGACUCUGUGCGCA